Molecule: ribosomal RNA, 720 nt
Filed under: uncultured bacterium
Lineage: Bacteria
Description: bacterial SSU rRNA
Rfam family: Bacterial small subunit ribosomal RNA
Source: RNAcentral
AAUGCUUAGAUAUCACGAAGAACUCCGAUCGCGAAGGCAGCCGCCCGGUGGCCGACUGACGCUGAGGCUCGAAGGUGCGGGUAUCAAACAGGAUUAGAUACCCUGGUAGUCCGCACGGUAAACGUUGGAUACUCGCGGUUGGUUUUUUGUAAGUCAGCCGCCAAGCGAAAGUGUUAAGUAUCCCACCUGGGGAGUACGCCGGCAACGGUGAAACUCAAAGGAAUUGACGGGGGCCCGCACAAGCGGAGGAACAUGUGGUUUAAUUCGAUGAUACGCGAGGAACCUUACCCGGGUUUGAAUUCGGCAGGAAGUCUCCGGAGACGGGGAUGUCCCUUCGGGGUCUGCCGGAAGGUGCUGCAUGGUUGUCGUCAGCUCGUGCCGUGAGGUGUCGGCUUAAGUGCCAUAGCGAGCGCAACCCUCGCCUACGGUUGCCAUCGGGUGAUGCCGGGCACUCCGUGGGGACUGCCCCCGCAAGGGGUGAGGAAGGGGGGGAUGACGUCAAAUCAGCACGGCCCUUACGUCCGGGGCUACACACGUGUUACAAUGGGUGGUACAGCGGGCAGCGCGGCGGCGACGCCAAGCGAAUCCCGAAAGCCACCCCCAGUUCGGACUGGAGUCUGCAACCCGACUCCACGAAGCCGGAUUCGCUAGUAAUCGCGCAUCAGCCAUGGCGCGGUGAAUACGUUCCCGGGCCUUGUACACACCGCCCGUCAAGCCAUG